CCCCUAGAUGUCCUGGGCCGCACGCGCAAUACAAUGUAAAGUUCAGAAAGCAUAUCCUGUUCCGGAAGGCAAUGGGUAAUCUUUUCAAUAUUUUACGUGUUAGGGAUCGAUCUUUGCAAUUAUAGAUCUUGAACGAGGAAUACCUAGUAAGUGCAGCUCAUCAGGCUGUACUGAUUACGUCCCUGCCCUUUGUACACACCGCCUGUCGCUCCUACCGAUUUCGAGUGGUCCGGUGAAUCUUUUGGAAUUAGAGUGCAAACUCAAACUAAGAUCGAUAAACCUUAUCACUGAGAGGAAGGAGAAGUCGUAACA
Molecule: ribosomal RNA, 312 nt
Filed under: uncultured eukaryote
Lineage: Eukaryota
Description: partial 18S ribosomal RNA
Rfam family: Eukaryotic small subunit ribosomal RNA
Source: RNAcentral